RNAcentral lists this ribosomal RNA (619 nucleotides) under uncultured bacterium. RNAcentral describes it as "bacterial SSU rRNA". The stretch from base 1 to 537 matches the Rfam family "Bacterial small subunit ribosomal RNA", at positions 338 to 873 of the family's 1533-position model. The record is from RNAcentral.
CCUACGGGAGGCAGCAGUAAGGAAUAUUGGACAAUGCUCGCAAGAGUGAUCCAGCCAUGCCGCGUGCGGGAAGAAUGCCCUAUGGGUAGUAAACUGCUUUUGAACUAGAGAAAAUCCCAGUACGGGUACUGGGCUGAUAGUAUAGUUAGAAUAAGCAUCGGCUAACUUCGUGCCAGCAGCCGCGGUAAGACGAAGGAUGCAAGCGUUAUCCGGAUUCAUUGGGUUUAAAGGGAGCGUAGGUGGACUGAUAAGUCAGUGGUGAAAUCUCCGAGCUUAACUCGGAAAUUGCCAUUGAUACUGUUGGUCUUGAGUACAGUUGCUGUGGGCGGAAUAUGACAUGUAGUGGUGAAAUACAUAGAGAUGUCAUAGAACACCGAUUGCGAAGGCAGCUCACAAAGCUGUAACUGACACUGAGGCUCGAAAGUGCGGGGAUCAAACAGGAUUAGAUACCCUGGUAGUCCGCACCGUAAACGAUGAUUACUCGCUGCUAGGGGGCAACCUUUAGUGGCUUAGCGAAAGCGAAUAAGUAAUUCCACCUGGGGUUAGGUUACGCGGCGACGGAGAACGACGAAGAAGUUAGACGGCGNGAGACGCGACGACGACGACGACGGAGGAGGAG